This 495-nucleotide ribosomal RNA is filed under the name uncultured bacterium. RNAcentral describes it as "partial 16S ribosomal RNA". It matches the Rfam family "Bacterial small subunit ribosomal RNA", at positions 28 to 507 of the family's 1533-position model. The record is from RNAcentral.
GACGAACGCUGGCGGCGUGCCUAAUACAUGCAAGUAGAACGCUGAAGGAGGAGCUUGCUCUUCUGGAUGAGUUGCGAACGGGUGAGUAACGCGUAGGUAACCUGCCUGUUAGCGGGGGAUAACUAUUGGAAACGAUAGCUAAUACCGCAUAACAGUAGAUGUUGCAUGACAUUUGCUUAAAAGGUGCAAUUGCAUCACUACCAGAUGGACCUGCGUUGUAUUAGCUAGUUGGUGGGGUAACGGCUCACCAAGGCGACGAUACAUAGCCGACCUGAGAGGGUGAUCGGCCACACUGGGACUGAGACACGGCCCAGAAUCCUAAGGGAGGCAGCAGUAGGGAAUCUUCGGCAAUGGACGGAAGUCUGACCGAGCAACGCCGCGUGAGUGAAGAAGGUUUUCGGAUCGUAAAGAUCUGUUGUAAGAGAAGAACGAGUGUGAGAGUGGAAAGUUCACACUGUGACGGUAUCUUACCAGAAAGGGACGGCUAACUACGUG